RNAcentral lists this long non-coding RNA (210 nucleotides) under Gallus gallus (chicken). The record is from RNAcentral. Lineage: Eukaryota; Metazoa; Chordata; Aves; Galliformes; Phasianidae.
AUUGAAUCCACUUUUUCAAGGAGAUCAUUUGGUAGUAAAACACCACUUUUCUUCAGAGCUUCAACCUUACUGAGCAGUUCCAUCUUUUUCGGUUGCCUGAUUGACAUUUCUACACUGUACCUCUUGUAAAGAUGCUGCUGCUGCUCCUCUGACAUCAUCAGGUCAUGGCUGUCCAUCACAAUGGAUUCCAUGUCAAUCAGCCAAUCCCAG